UACGGAGGGUGCAAGCGUUGUCCGGAAUCACUGGGCGUAAAGGGCGCGUAGGCGGCUCGUGAAGUCGGGUGUGAAAGCCCGGGGCUCAACCCCGGAACGGCAUCCGAUACUGGCGGGCUUGAGACCGGGAGAGGAGGGUGGAAUACCCAGUGUAGAGGUGAAAUUCGUAGAUAUCGGGAGGAACACCAGUGGCGAAGGCGACUACCUGGCCUGUUCUUGACGCUGAGGCGCGAAAGCUAGGGGAGCAAACGGG
Molecule: ribosomal RNA, 253 nt
Filed under: uncultured bacterium
Lineage: Bacteria
Description: partial 16S ribosomal RNA
Rfam family: Bacterial small subunit ribosomal RNA
Source: RNAcentral